UUAGAGUUUGAUCUUGGCUCAGGAUGAACGCUGGCGGUGUGCCUAAUACAUGCAAGUCGAACGCGUUGGCCCAAUUGAUUGAUGGUGCUUGCACCUGAUUGAUUUUGGUCGCCAACGAGUGGCGGACGGGUGAGUAACACGUAGGUAACCUGCCCAGAAGCGGGGGACAACAUUUGGAAACAGAUGCUAAUACCGCAUAACAGCGUUGUUCGCAUGAACAACGCUUAAAAGAUGGCUUCUCGCUAUCACUUCUGGAUGGACCUGCGGUGCAUUAGCUUGUUGGUGGGGUAACGGCCUACCAAGGCGAUGAUGCAUAGCCGAGUUGAGAGACUGAUCGGCCACAAUGGGACUGAGACACGGCCCAUACUCCUACGGGAGGCAGCAGUAGGGAAUCUUCCACAAUGGGCGCAAGCCUGAUGGAGCAACACCGCGUGAGUGAAGAAGGGUUUCGGCUCGUAAAGCUCUGUUGUUAAAGAAGAACACGUAUGAGAGUAACUGUUCAUACGUUGACGGUAUCCAACCAGAAAGUCACGGCUAACUACGUGCCAGCAGCCGCGGUAAUACGUAGGUGGCAAGCGUUAUCCGGAUUUAUUGGGCGUAAAGAGAGUGCAGGCGGUUUUCUAAGUCUGAUGUGAAAGCCUUCGGCUUAACCGGAGAAGUGCAUCGGAAACUGGAUAACUUGAGUGCAGAAGAGGGUAGUGGAACUCCAUGUGUAGCGGUGGAAUGCGUAGAUAUAUGGAAGAACACCAGUGGCGAAGGCGGCUACCUGGUCUGCAACUGACGCUGAGACUCGAAAGCAUGGGUAGCGAACAGGAUUAGAUACCCUGGUAGUCCAUGCCGUAAACGAUGAGUGCUAGGUGUUGGAGGGUUUCCGCCCUUCAGUGCCGGAGCUAACGCAUUAAGCACUCCGCCUGGGGAGUACGACCGCAAGGUUGAAACUCAAAGGAAUUGACGGGGGCCCGCACAAGCGGUGGAGCAUGUGGUUUAAUUCGAAGCUACGCGAAGAACCUUACCAGGUCUUGACAUCUUGCGCCAACCCUAGAGAUAGGGCGUUUCCUUCGGGAACGCAAUGACAGGUGGUGCAUGGUCGUCGUCAGCUCGUGUCGUGAGAUGUUGGGUUAAGUCCCGCAACGAGCGCAACCCUUGUUACUAGUUGCCAGCAUUAAGUUGGGCACUCUAGUGAGACUGCCGGUGACAAACCGGAGGAAGGUGGGGACGACGUCAGAUCAUCAUGCCCCUUAUGACCUGGGCUACACACGUGCUACAAUGGACGGUACAACGAGUCGCGAACUCGCGAGGGCAAGCAAAUCUCUUAAAACCGUUCUCAGUUCGGACUGCAGGCUGCAACUCGCCUGCACGAAGUCGGAAUCGCUAGUAAUCGCGGAUCAGCAUGCCGCGGUGAAUACGUUCCCGGGCCUUGUACACACCGCCCGUCACACCAUGAGAGUUUGUAACACCCAAAGUCGGUGGGGUAACCUUUUAGGAGCCAGCCGCCUAAGGUGGGACAGAUGAUUAGGGUGAAGUCGUAACAAGGUAGCCGUAGGAGAACCUGCGGCUGGAUCACCUCCUU
RNAcentral lists this ribosomal RNA (1570 nucleotides) under Limosilactobacillus fermentum. Its description in RNAcentral is "Lactobacillus fermentum 16S ribosomal RNA". It matches the Rfam family "Bacterial small subunit ribosomal RNA". Lineage: Bacteria; Bacillati; Bacillota; Bacilli; Lactobacillales; Lactobacillaceae. The record is from RNAcentral.